RNAcentral lists this ribosomal RNA (462 nucleotides) under uncultured bacterium. RNAcentral describes it as "partial 16S ribosomal RNA". It matches the Rfam family "Bacterial small subunit ribosomal RNA", at positions 338 to 795 of the family's 1533-position model. The record is from RNAcentral.
CCUACGGGAGGCAGCAGUGAGGAAUAUUGGUCAAUGGACGCAAGCCUGAACCAGCCAAGUAGCGUGCAGGAUGACGGCCCUCCGGGUUGUAAACUGCUUUUAGUUGGGAAUAAAAGGGGGCUCGUGAGCCUCGUAUUGUAUGUAUCAUCAGAAAAAGGACCGGCUAAUUCUGUGCCAGCAGCCGCGGUAAUACGGAAGGUCCGGGCGUUAUCCGGAUUUAUUGGGUUUAAAGGGAGCGUAGGCGGGCUUUUAAGUCAGCUGUGAAAGUCCGCGGCUCAACCGUGGAAUUGCAGUUGAAACUGGAGGCCUUGAGUGCAGACAGGGAUGGCGGAAUUCAUGGUGUAGCGGUGAAAUGCUUAGAUAUCAUGAAGAACUCCGAUCGCGAAGGCAGGUGUCCGGGGUGCAACUGACGCUGAGGCUCGAAAGUGCGGGUAUCAAACAGGAUUAGAUACCCUGGUAGUC